Molecule: unclassified non-coding RNA, 467 nt
Filed under: Hevea brasiliensis (rubber tree)
Lineage: Eukaryota; Viridiplantae; Streptophyta; Magnoliopsida; Malpighiales; Euphorbiaceae
Source: RNAcentral
UUUUGAGUCAAAUACUCUAUGCUUGCAAAUUGAGGCAUAAAUAAUAAUAAUUUGUUAAAUAUUUUUUGUUAUAAAAAAAUAUAUUUUAUGGAUCAUGAUGUGGAUUAAUUAAUAGAUGGUUAGUUUAAUAAUUAUUAGAGGUCCUAACAUGAAUUUGAUUAAUUAAAGUAAAUUAUUGAGUUUAGUGAUUCAUGAAGCAUUAUGAUCCUAUGAUACGUUAUAUUGUAAAAUGUUUAUGAGAUUGUGUUAUGCAAUAAAAUGGUAAAUAAUUAUCUUCUUAUUGCUAAUUAAGCUUAUUUUGUGAUGAUGGAAUUAAGCAAUAAAUACAUUGAGAGCUACGUGAACCUGACCUUUCACUUUGUAAUAGAGGUACAUAGGUAGCCUUCGAGUGCUGUUCGAAGUAGGUUAAUUUUAAUUUUCUUUAUUUUUAAAAUUUCCUUUUUAUUUUUUUAAAUUUUAGAUUUGGA